AUUGAACGCUGGCGGCAGGCCUAACACAUGCAAGUCGAACGGUAGCACGGAGAGCUUGCUCUCGGGUGACGAGUGGCGGACGGGUGAGUAACGUCUGGGAAACUGCCCGAUGGAGGGGGAUAACUACUGGAAACGGUAGCUAAUACCGCAUAACGUCGCAAGACCAAAGUGGGGGACCUUCGGGCCUCACACCAUCGGAUGUGCCCAGAUGGGAUUAGCUAGUAGGUGGGGUAAUGGCUCACCUAGGCGACGAUCCCUAGCUGGUCUGAGAGGAUGACCAGCCACACUGGAACUGAGACACGGUCCAGACUCCUACGGGAGGCAGCAGUGGGGAAUAUUGCACAAUGGGCGCAAGCCUGAUGCAGCCAUGCCGCGUGUAUGAAGAAGGCCUUCGGGUUGUAAAGUACUUUCAGCGGGGAGGAAGGCGGUGAAGUUAAUAGCUUCACCGAUUGACGUUACCCGCAGAAGAAGCACCGGCUAACUCCGUGCCAGCAGCCGCAGUAA
This 504-nucleotide ribosomal RNA is filed under the name uncultured bacterium. RNAcentral's name for it is "partial 16S ribosomal RNA". It matches the Rfam family "Bacterial small subunit ribosomal RNA", at positions 30 to 523 of the family's 1533-position model. The record is from RNAcentral.